UUAAUAUAAAUUAAAAGUCAUUCAUAAUCAUUAUAAUUCAUAUUCAUACACACAAAUACUUCACAAUGUUUACAAAAUCGAAAGUUUAGAACAAAUCCAUAUACUUAACAAUAUUCAUAAAAUUUAAAACAAAUCUAUCAGUUUGCUGAAAUAUCUGAUGGAGAAGUAGAAUCUACAGUUGUGUGAUGAUGAAAAUAUGUUUGCUUGUGGAGUAUGCUCUCGUGUUUCCUUUUGCAUCUCUGUUGCCUCAUGUCUUUCAUUCAUAGAGAGAUGCUGGCCAUACCCUCUACCUCUAAGAUAAUACUGUUCUUCUAGACAUAUGAAAAAAAAAUAUAUAUAUAAAUUUCAAUUAACAAUAAUUGUAAAUAAUAAUAAAACAUCAAAUAAUAAGUCUUUAAAAAUAUAUAAAAAUAAAUUUAUAUAAUAAGUAAAAAUAAAUUUCAGAUCCAUUAACAUUCUUGAAAGUCCCAACAGGGCAUUCCUGUUUUGCAAUUUAUAGCAAUUAACCAAAAAGCAUCUUUGACUAAUCCACUAACAAGGGAACAUUAAAAAUGCAAUCGAGAAACAGUAAGAACCUUGACUGAUUAUUUUAUAGAUCUAGCUAAGGUUUUUGGGCAUAGAGAUGUACAAAUACAUAUCCUUGGUCAUAAUAAUUUUUCAACACAAAUGGGAUUCUCAAUAUAGGGCAACCAGAAUGAGGAUAUAAAUAUAAUAAUAUAUCAAGGCCAGUGGUCCUAGAAAUUAUACAGGCAUAAGAUCAUAAGAUGUUCAAAAUAUUCAAAUGGUCCACGAGAAAUUGACAAGAUGGUAUUAGUAAAAAUACCUCGCAGAAUAUACCAUAAAGCCCUUUUGGACAGGCCCUUCCAGUAACAAUUUCAUUUCCACCAGAAUGACACUGACCUCUACCAAAUCCUCCCCUGCCAUCAGGUAAACGAAAAGCUUAAAUCAAUUGACUUCAAAAUAACCCAGCCAUGAGCAUUUUUAUAACAAAUAAGUGGGAGUGCAUAUGCGUGUAUAAACUAGGACAACCAAAACAUUCAAUAAAAUAUAAAUCAAAGAAGAUAAAAUAAUCAGAACUACUGUAUGGGAUAUACACUGCCUAAUAUAGACCAAGUCAGAAUGCUUCCAUUUGCAGUUGCAAUUGGCAGAUACUCAUCUCCAACUGAAAUAUCUGACCAAUGAAAGUGAAUCAUGAUAUGUUAAAAAAUAUCAAAAUUUUAAAUGCACAAAUUACAAGGAUAAAAAUUUAAGAUAAUAAUUAUUAAAAUAUAUUAAUUAAUUGUCAAAUAAAAUUAAUAAAACUCAAAAAAUUAACAAUUUAAAUAUAAUGAUAAGAUAUCAUGAUAAUUAUUUUAAUAUUUUUAAUUAAUAUUUAAAUUUAUUAUUUUAAUAAUCUUAUAAAAAAAAUUAAUUUAAAUAUUAUCAAAAUGAUUAAUUUUUAAAAAUUAUCCUACAUAAUUAUAAAAUAAAAUUAAUUAAACUCAUAAAUAAAAAAUUUAAAUAUACAUUAAUUUUAAAUGAUAAAUAUCUACAAUCAGUGAUAUAUGAAUAAUUUAUUUAUUUAAAUAAUAAAAUAAUUAUCUAUUUUAAAAUUUAAAUUUAGUUAUAAAUAUUUAAAUAAUAUAAAUGUAAAUUCAUAAUUUAAUUUUUUUUAAAUAAUAAAUAAUUACCUCAACAGCAAGCAGCUGCUUGCCCAGCAGCAGCUUGCUGCUGUGGGCAGCAGCUUGCUGCGCAGCUGCUGCUGGGCACGCAACUUGCUGCGCAGCAUGCUGCUGCGUGCCCAGCAGCUGCAGCUUGCUGCUUGCCCAGCAGCAGCUUGCUGCGCACAGCAGCAAGCUGCCCACAAUUUAUUUUUUUUUUUUUAAAUAUAAUUAGUAAAACUAAAAAUAAACUUUGAUUAACACAAAUUUAUAACUAAAUAAAUAAUAUUUUCACUAUAUCAUAACAUAUUCAAAAAUUAAAACUCAAAAUUUCAAUAAUAUAAUAAAAGAAACUAAAAAUCAAAGUAGACACUUACUUGAUAGGCAGUGGCGGAAGUGGCGGCAGUGGCGAGCGGCAACGCAGUAGUGGCGAGAGGAGCGUCCAGCAGUGGCGAGCGUUCAGCAGCGGCGACAGUGACGGGAUCAACGGCAGCGGCGGCGGCGGCGAUUUCGGUAAGGAGAAAGAACAGGAGAGGAGAGGAGAGNNN
This 2188-nucleotide long non-coding RNA is filed under the name Manihot esculenta (cassava). RNAcentral describes it as "long non-coding RNA (MESC_LNC005476)". Lineage: Eukaryota; Viridiplantae; Streptophyta; Magnoliopsida; Malpighiales; Euphorbiaceae. The record is from RNAcentral.